UCCAGACUCCUACGGGAGGCAGCAGUGGGGGAUAUUGCACAAUGGGGGGAACCCUGAUGCAGCGACGCCGCGUGAGUGAAGAAGUAUUUCGGUAUGUAAAGCUCUCUCAGCAGGGAAGAAGAAAGACGGUACCUGAGUAAGAAGCCCCGGCUAACUACGUGCCAGCAGCCGCGGUAAUACGUAGGGGGCAAGCGUUAUCCGGAUUUACUGGGUGUAAAGGGAGCGUAGACGGUAUGGCAAGUCUGAAGUGAAAGCCCCGGGCGCAACCUGGGAACUGCUUUGGAAACUGUUAAACUAGAGUGCUGGAGAGGCAGGCGGAAUUCCUAGUGUAGCGGUGAAAUGCGUAGAUAUUAGGAGGAACACCAGUGGCGAAGGCGGCCUGCUGGACAGUAACUGACGUUGAGGCUCGAAAGCGUGGGGAGCAAACAGGAUUAGAUACCCGUGUAGG
RNAcentral lists this ribosomal RNA (448 nucleotides) under uncultured bacterium. RNAcentral's name for it is "bacterial SSU rRNA". It matches the Rfam family "Bacterial small subunit ribosomal RNA", at positions 330 to 794 of the family's 1533-position model. The record is from RNAcentral.